Molecule: transfer RNA, 67 nt
Filed under: Penaeus penicillatus
Lineage: Eukaryota; Metazoa; Arthropoda; Malacostraca; Decapoda; Penaeidae
Description: tRNA-His
Rfam family: tRNA
About the family: Transfer RNA (tRNA) molecules are approximately 80 nucleotides in length. Their secondary structure includes four short double-helical elements and three loops (D, anti-codon, and T loops). Further hydrogen bonds mediate the characteristic L-shaped molecular structure. tRNAs have two regions of fundamental functional importance: the anti-codon, which is responsible for specific mRNA codon recognition, and the 3' end, to which the tRNAs corresponding amino acid is attached (by aminoacyl-tRNA synthetases). tRNAs cope with the degeneracy of the genetic code in two manners: having more than one tRNA (with a specific anti-codon) for a particular amino acid; and 'wobble' base-pairing, i.e. permitting non-standard base-pairing at the 3rd anti-codon position.
Source: RNAcentral
AUUUAAGUAGUUUAAAUAAAACGUCGGUUUGUGGUGCCGAAGAUAUGAGUUUAAUUCAUUUUGAAUC